AGAGUUUGAUCAUGGCUCAGGACGAACGCUGGCGGCGUGCCUAAUACAUGCAAGUCGAACGAACUCUGGUAUUGAUUGGUGCUUGCAUCAUGAUUUACAUUUGAGUGAGUGGCGAACUGGUGAGUAACACGUGGGAAACCUGCCCAGAAGCGGGGGAUAACACCUGGAAACAGAUGCUAAUACCGCAUAACAACUUGGACCGCAUGGUCCGAGCUUGAAAGAUGGCUUCGGCUAUCACUUUUGGAUGGUCCCGCGGCGUAUUAGCUAGAUGGUGGGGUAACGGCUCACCAUGGCAAUGAUACGUAGCCGACCUGAGAGGGUAAUCGGCCACAUUGGGACUGAGACACGGCCCAAACUCCUACGGGAGGCAGCAGUAGGGAAUCUUCCACAAUGGACGAAAGUCUGAUGGAGCAACGCCGCGUGAGUGAAGAAGGGUUUCGGCUCGUAAAACUCUGUUGUUAAAGAAGAACAUAUCUGAGAGUAACUGUUCAGGUAUUGACGGUAUUUAACCAGAAAGCCACGGCUAACUACGUGCCAGCAGCCGCGGUAAUACGUAGGUGGCAAGCGUUGUCCGGAUUUAUUGGGCGUAAAGCGAGCGCAGGCGGUUUUUUAAGUCUGAUGUGAAAGCCUUCGGCUCAACCGAAGAAGUGCAUCGGAAACUGGGAAACUUGAGUGCAGAAGAGGACAGUGGAACUCCAUGUGUAGCGGUGAAAUGCGUAGAUAUAUGGAAGAACACCAGUGGCGAAGGCGGCUGUCUGGUCUGUAACUGACGCUGAGGCUCGAAAGUAUGGGUAGCAAACAGGAUUAGAUACCCUGGUAGUCC
This 823-nucleotide ribosomal RNA is filed under the name Lactiplantibacillus plantarum. RNAcentral describes it as "bacterial SSU rRNA". It matches the Rfam family "Bacterial small subunit ribosomal RNA", at positions 8 to 796 of the family's 1533-position model. The record is from RNAcentral. Lineage: Bacteria; Bacillati; Bacillota; Bacilli; Lactobacillales; Lactobacillaceae.